GCCUUGCCCAGUAGUGUUCUUUUCUGGUAGCCAAGGAACAUUUACAGAAGGAAAGAAUCCCAGUACAGUCUCAGACAGCUAAUGGAUUCAUAUCUGUGCUCUACCCAUCAGAUUGCUUGAAACAUGGUGGAAUUGGCUGUCUGAACAGAAAAUCUGUCCUGGAAUUUUGGGUCAAUGAAGUCUCUCAUCAAUGGAGAUGUACAAAAUCAAAUUGACAGUCAAGGGCACCAAACUGACUGUUCUUCAAUCUACCCUCAGAAUCCAAGGUGUGAAAACCAGGGAGAGGCAGAAGAGCUAAGAUGAUUAAAUGAGUUGGGGACCCUUUGUCUGUGGCAUUGUUAUCAAGGCUAAAAUUAUUAAGCAGAAAACGGAGCAUUCAGGAUGCUGAGAUUCAGAAGGAACAACGGGACUCUCCACUCAACAUUUUCUGAAGCAGGCCCUGAGACUUGCAAUAGUUUCAAAGCAGAACUGCUUUGUGGCUGGCCAGAAUGUCAACAGUCCUAACCAGUUUGUAUUAAAAAAAAAAUUACAGCAGGUUUGCUUCAAAUUUUGUAACAAUAAGAUUGCUUUCAUCUGGAUUAUAGCAACAUCUUGAUUAAUUACAAUGAAAAUAACAAGAUGUUUCAAUUAGACACUUUUUGUCCAUAU
RNAcentral lists this long non-coding RNA (648 nucleotides) under Marmota monax (woodchuck). The record is from RNAcentral. Lineage: Eukaryota; Metazoa; Chordata; Mammalia; Rodentia; Sciuridae.